GAUGAACGCUGGCGGCGUGCCUAAUACAUGCAAGUCGAGCGAACAGACGAGGAUCUUGCUCCUCUGACGUUAGCGGCGGACGGGUGAGUAACACGUGGAUAACCUACCUAUAAGACUGGGAUAACUUCGGGAAACCGGAGCUAAUACCGGAUAAUAUAUUGAACCGCAUGGUUCAAUAGUGAAAGACGGUUUUGCUGUCUCUUAUAGAUGGAUCCGCGCGGCAUUAGGUAGUUGGUAAGGUAACGGCUUACCAAGGCAACGAUGCGUAGCCGACCUGAGAGGGUGAUCGGACAAACGGAAAGUGAGACAGGGUCAAGACUCCUACGGGAGGCAGCAGUAGGAAAUCUACCGAAAGGGGCGAAAGACUGAAGGAGAAACGCAGGGUGAGUGAUGAAGGUCUUCGGAUCGUAAAACUCUGUUAUUAGGGAAGAAAAAAUGUGUAAGUAACUAUGCACGUCUUGACGGAACCAAAUAAGAAAGCCACGGCUAACUACGU
RNAcentral lists this ribosomal RNA (496 nucleotides) under uncultured bacterium. Its description in RNAcentral is "partial 16S ribosomal RNA". It matches the Rfam family "Bacterial small subunit ribosomal RNA", at positions 28 to 506 of the family's 1533-position model. The record is from RNAcentral.